This 1104-nucleotide ribosomal RNA is filed under the name Triticum aestivum (bread wheat). RNAcentral's name for it is "partial small subunit ribosomal RNA". The record is from RNAcentral. Lineage: Eukaryota; Viridiplantae; Streptophyta; Magnoliopsida; Poales; Poaceae.
AUGCCAGGUGUACCGAGGGAACUCGCUGAGCACACUCUUAAUAUCGAUCCCAAGUUUAAACCGGUCAAGCAGUUUCUCCGCCACUUCAAUGAAGAGAGAAGCAAGGCCAUUGGUGAGGAGGUAGCCCGACUCUUGGCAGCAGGGUUUAUCGUGGAGGUUUUUCACCCUGAGUGGUUAGCUAACCCGGUGCUGGUGCUCAAGAAGAACGACACUUGGCGUAUGUGUGUGGAUUACACAGAUUUGAACAAGGCUUGUCCAGCUGAUCCCUUUGCUCUCCCUCAUAUUGAUCAAAUUAUUGAUGCUACGGCGGGUUGUGAGCGUUUGAGCUUUCUGGAUGCUUAUUCUGGUUAUCAUCAGAUUAAAAUGGCAGUUAAGGACCAGGAGAAGACAGCCUUUAUAACUCCCUUUGGAGCCUUCUGCUAUGUAUCUAUGCCCUUUGGGCUCAAGAGUGCCCAGGCGACUUAUCAGCGGUGUGUGCAGAAUUGUCUUCAUAGUCAGAUUGGGCGCAAUGUUCAUGCUUAUGUGGAUGAUAUCGUUGUGAAGUCCAGGAAAGCAGAGACACUGAUAGCUAAUUUGAAGGAAACCUUUGAUAAUCUCCGGGUUUAUAAGAUGAUGCUUAAUCCGGCCAAGUGUGUUUUUGGUGUAUCGGCAGGCAAGCUCUUGGGUUUUCUGGUGUCUAACAGGGGCAUUGAAGCUAAUCCGGAAAAAAUCAAGGCUAUUACGUACCUGGCUAAACCGGCGUGUGUCAAUGAUGUUCAACACCUGGUGGGUUGUAUUGCGGCGCUAAACCGGUUUAUCAGCCGAUUGGGAGAGAAGGCCAUCCCUCUAUAUCAGAGGAUGAAGAAGACAGACAACUUUGUCUGGAGUGAUGCUGCUAAUGCGACAUUUGAAGAUCUGAAGAAGCAGUUAGCUGAGCCGCCUGUUCUUGCUGCCCCCAUUGAUAAGGAACCAUUGCUGUUAUAUGUGGCUGCUAACGCCCGGGCUAUCAGUGUGGCUAUUGUGGUGGAGCGCAAGGAGGCCGGUAAGGAGUAUCCGGUUCAAUGGUUGGUUUAUUAUAUCAGUGAGGUUCUUAUUGAGUCCAAGCAGAGAUAUCCACAUUGGUAG